CCUGUAGAUGCCUAACACAUGCACCUGACAGGCUUCGGCCUUAGUGGCCCGUAGACAACUUGAGUACCACGUGGGAACCCCAGUGACACCAGAUAGAAACGUUCGGAAUCCAGUGAGAGACCGGAUACGCCCUUCCGUAGGACCGUCCGAUGACCAGUAGAGGGCCCCCAUGAGGACCAGUAGAGCCGAUGACCUUCGAGGCCGUAGUAACAAUCCGUAGCUGGUCUGAGAGGAUCCGUUACCGAUACACUGGGCCGUGACGGCCCAAACUCCUACGGGAGGCCAGUGAGAGACAAUGGGCGCAAGCCUGAUCCAGUGAGAUGAGAUGAAACCGUUGAGUGAUGAAGGCCUUAGGGUUGUAAAGCUCUUUCGCACGCGACGAUGAUGACGGUAGCGUCCGUGACAAAUUUAAUAUAUCCGGUGCCAGCAGCCGCGGUAAUACGAAGUCCGUACCCCGGCUAACUUCAAUUACUGCCAGUAGUAGGCGUAGGCCAGUGACCAGCGGCCUGCCAGUAACCCCGGGCUCAACCUGGGAAUAGCUUUUGAUACUGGCAGGCUUGAGUUCCGGAGAGGAUGGUGGAAUUCCGUGAUGAAGGUGAAAUUCGCCAGUAGUGAAUAACCGUGAUGAAGGCCGUUUUUCGUCUCUGUGUCGCAUCUGGACGGACACUGACGCUGAACACCGGUGGCCAGUGAUGAUACACCCUGGUAGCCGUAGUUCCACGCCGUAAACGAUGAAUGCUAGACGUCGGGGUGAACAGGAUUAGCGCUAACGCAUUAACCGUGACUGGAUUAGAGUACGGCCGCAAGGUUAAAACUUUGCCAGUAGUAGAACGGCCCGCACCAGUGAUGGAGCAUGUGGUUUAAUUCGAACCGUGACAGUAGUAGCCUUACCAACCCCCGAUGAUCACUAUGGACUUGACCGAUGAUACAGUUCGGCCGGGUGGAACACACCAGUGAUAGUAAACUGUCGUCACUUAUUAGUGUCGUGAGAUGUUGGGUUAAGUGCCGCACGAUAGCUCCCAUUAGAUCCUACCGUCAGUUGCCAUCAUUGGCCAUGAGAUGGACCAGUGAUAGUAGAACAAGCCGGAGGAAGGCGGGGAUGACCCAGUAGCCUCAUGGCAUCCAGUGACCCAUGAUCACACGUGCUACAAUGGCGGUGACAGUGGGAAAAAUUUACGUGGGAGCCAAUCCGACUGACGGGUCGUGACUGUCUCAGUUCGGACUGACUAGUCUGCAACUCAAGUGCGAGAAGUUGGAAUCCGGAUCCCAGUGAUACCGUGAAUGCUAGUAAUCGACACACCGCCUGUCCCAGUGACACCAUGGGAGUUGGUUUUACCCGAAGGUGGUGCGCUAACCGCCCAGUGACCAGUAGUCCACGGUAAGGUCAGCGACUGGGGUGAAGUCCCAGUAGAGGU
This 1415-nucleotide ribosomal RNA is filed under the name Azospirillum melinis. Its description in RNAcentral is "partial 16S ribosomal RNA". It matches the Rfam family "Bacterial small subunit ribosomal RNA". Lineage: Bacteria; Pseudomonadati; Pseudomonadota; Alphaproteobacteria; Rhodospirillales; Azospirillaceae. The record is from RNAcentral.